UGAGAGGACGAUCAGCCACACUGGGACUGAGACACGGCCCAGACUCCUACGGGAGGCAGCAGUAGGGAAUCUUGCGCAAUGGGGGCAACCCUGACGCAGCAACGCCGCGUGUGGGAUGACGGCUUUCGGGUUGUAAACCGCUUUCAGUGAUGACGAAAAUGACGGUAAUCACAGAAGAAGGUCCGGCCAACUACGUGCCAGCAGCCGCGGUAACACGUAGGGACCGAGCGUUGUCCGGAUUUAUUGGGCGUAAAGAGCUCGUAGGCGGUUCUGUAAGUCGGAUGUGAAAACUCAGGGCUCAACCCUGAGACGCCAUCUGAUACUGCAGUGACUAGAGUCCGGUAGAGGAAGAUGGAAUUCCUGGUGUAGCGGUGGAAUGCGCAGAUAUCAGGAGGAACACCAACGGCGAAGGCAGUCUUCUGGGCCGGUACUGACGCUGAGGAGCGAAAGCAUGGGGAGCAAACAGGAUUAGAUACCCUGGUAGUCCAUGCCGUAAACGUUGGGCACUAGGUAUGGGACCAUAUCAACGGGUUCCGUGCCGUAGCUAACGCAUUAAGUGCCCCGCCUGGGGAGUACGG
RNAcentral lists this ribosomal RNA (578 nucleotides) under uncultured Actinomycetes bacterium. RNAcentral's name for it is "bacterial SSU rRNA". It matches the Rfam family "Bacterial small subunit ribosomal RNA", at positions 293 to 885 of the family's 1533-position model. The record is from RNAcentral. Lineage: Bacteria; Bacillati; Actinomycetota; Actinomycetes.